GCUGACUCUUUUCAGACGCAGCCUGCCUGCACCCAGGUGAAAUAAACAGCCAUGUUGCUCACACAAAGCCUGUUUGGUGGUCUCUUCACACGGACAUGCAUGAAAUUUGGUGCCGUGACUCGGAUCGGGGGACCUCCCUUGGGAGAUCAAUCCCCUGUCCUCCUGCUCUUUGCUCCGUGAAAAAGAUCCACCUAUGACCUCAGGUCCUCAGACCCACCAGCCCAAGGAACAGCUCACCAAUUUUAAAUAGGAGAAGUUUACAAAACAAGGAGGAAGACUUCUACACCUCACAGCCAGGAUUCCCUGCUCUGGCUCUCGGCUGCUGCCUCAGGGUGAAUCUGUUGCUAGGUCAUCGUGGCAUCUCUGCAGGAUGACAGUGUUUUGGAAACAGUGAGAAACAGAUACUGAGAGAAGUCCCUAGCCUGGGUACCCAGAGAGCCUUUUACCUUCCUCUGGUAGGACUCAAUCCUGGUGUUGGUUACCCUAGACCAGGCCAGUGAAACAGAGUUGAGGUCUCACUAAGUUGCCCAGGCUGGUCUGGAACUCCUGGACUCGAGCAAUCCCCCCGCCUUGGCCUCCCAAAGUGCUGGGCUUACAGACAUGAGCCACCGUGUCCAGCUGACAGGAGGUCUUAACAUCCUUGUUUUUCGGA
This 652-nucleotide long non-coding RNA is filed under the name Homo sapiens (human). Its description in RNAcentral is "HSALNT0330899". The record is from RNAcentral. Lineage: Eukaryota; Metazoa; Chordata; Mammalia; Primates; Hominidae.